GAGUUUGAUCCUGGCUCAGAACGAACGCUGGCGGCAGGCCUAACACAUGCAAGUCGAGCGCUACCUUCGGGUGGAGCGGCGGACGGGUUAGUAACGCGUGGGAAUAUACCCAGUUCUAAGGAAUAGCCACUGGAAACGGUGAGUAAUACCUUAUACGCCCUUCGGGGGAAAGAUUUAUCGGAAUUGGAUUAGCCCGCGUUAGAUUAGAUAGUUGGUGGGGUAAUGGCCUACCAAGUCUACGAUCUAUAGCUGGUUUGAGAGGAUGAUCAGCAACACUGGGACUGAGACACGGCCCAGACUCCUACGGGAGGCAGCAGUGGGGAAUCUUAGACAAUGGGCGCAAGCCUGAUCUAGCCAUGCCGCGUGAGUGAAGAAGGCCCUUGGGUUGUAAAGCUCUUUCGUCGGGGAAGAAAAUGACUGUACCCGAAUAAGAAGGUCCGGCUAACUUCGUGCCAGCAGCCGCGGUAAUACGAAGGGACCUAGCGUAGUUCGGAAUUACUGGGCUUAAAGAGUUCGUAGGUGGUUGAAAAAGUUGGUGGUGAAAUCCCAGAGCUUAACUCUGGAACUGCCAUCAAAACUUUUCAGCUAGAGUAUGAUAGAGGAAAGCAGAAUUUCUAGUGUAGAGGUGAAAUUCGUAGAUAUUAGAAAGAAUGCCAAUUGCGAAGGCAGCUUUCUGGAUCAUUACUGACACUGAGGAACGAAAGCAUGGGUAGCGAAGAGGAUUAGAUACCCUCGUAGUCCAUGCCGUAAACGAUGUGUGUUAGACGUUGGAAAUUUAUUUUCAGUGUCGCAGGGAAACCGAUAAACACACCGCCUGGGGAGUACGACCGCAAGGUUAAAACUCAAAUGAAUUGACGGGGACCCGCACAAGUAGUGGAGCAUGUGGUUUAAUUCGAAGAUACGCGCAGAACCUUACCAACACUUGACAUGUUCGUCGCGACUCUAAGAGAUUAGAGUUUUCGGUUCGGCCGGACGAAACACAGGUGCUGCAUGGCUGUCGUCAGCUCGUGUCGUGAGAUGUUGGGUUAAGUCCCGCAACGAGCGCAACCCUCACUUUUAGUUGCCAUCAUUAAGUUGGGCACUCUGAAAGAACUGCCAGUGAUAAGCUGGAGGAAGGUGGGGAUGACGUCAAGUCCUCAUGGCCCUUACGUGUUGGGCUACACACGUGCUACAAUGGCAUCUACAACAGGAAGCAAAACGGCAACGUUAAGCAAAUCCCGAAAAGAUGCCUCAGUUCGGAUUGCACUCUGCAACUCGAGUGCAUGAAGCUGGAAUUACUAGUAAUCGUGGAUCAGCGUGCCACGGUGAAUGCGUUCCCGGGUCUUGUACACACCGCCCGUCACACCAUGGGAGUUGGUUCUACCUUAAGGCAAGGUUUCAAACCCUUGACCACGGUAUAGUCAGCGACUGGGGUGAAGUCGUAACAAGGUAACC
RNAcentral lists this ribosomal RNA (1434 nucleotides) under uncultured marine bacterium. RNAcentral describes it as "16S ribosomal RNA". It matches the Rfam family "Bacterial small subunit ribosomal RNA". The record is from RNAcentral.